This 502-nucleotide ribosomal RNA is filed under the name uncultured bacterium. Its description in RNAcentral is "bacterial SSU rRNA". It matches the Rfam family "Bacterial small subunit ribosomal RNA", at positions 22 to 518 of the family's 1533-position model. The record is from RNAcentral.
GGUCAGGAUGAACGCUAGCGACAGGCCUAACACAUGCAAGUCGAGGGGCAGCACAAGGAGCAAUCUGAGGUGGCGACCGGCGCACGGGUGAGUAACACGUAUGCAACCUGCCUGUAAGCGGGGAAUAACCCGUUGAAAGACGGACUAAUACCGCAUAAUACUAAAUUACUGCAUGGUAAUUUAUUUAAACAUUUAUGGCUUACAGAUGGGCAUGCGCAUGAUUAGCUAGUUGGAGAGGUAACGGCUCCCCAAGGCAACGAUCAUUAGGGGUUCUGAGAGGAAGGUCCCCCACACUGGUACUGAGACACGGACCAGACUCCUACGGGAGGCAGCAGUGAGGAAUAUUGGUCAAUGGACGAGAGUCUGAACCAGCCAAGUCGCGUGCAGGAAGAAUGUCCCUAUGGAUUGUAAACUGCUUUUGCAGGGGAAUAAAGUGCAUCACGUGUGAUGUUUUGUAUGUACUCUGCGAAUAAGGAUCGGCUAACUCCGUGCCAGCCGCCGC